RNAcentral lists this transfer RNA (65 nucleotides) under Neocrepidodera brevicollis. Its description in RNAcentral is "tRNA-Cys". The record is from RNAcentral. Lineage: Eukaryota; Metazoa; Arthropoda; Insecta; Coleoptera; Chrysomelidae.
AGUCUUAUAGUCAAUAAUGAUGUUAAAUUGCAAAUUUAAAGGGAAAUUUACUAAUUUUAAGGCUU